AGAGUUUGAUCCUGGCUCAGGAUGAACGCUAGCUACAGGCUUAACACAUGCAAGUCGAGGGGCAGCAUUUCAGUUUGUCUUGCAAACUGGAGAUGGCGACCGGCGCACGGGUGAGUAACACGUAUCCCAACCUGCCGAUAACUCGGGGAUAGCCUUUCGAAAGAAAGAUUAAUACCCGAUGGUAUAAUCAGACCGCAUGGUCUUGUUAUUAAAGAAUUUCGGUUAUCGAUGGGGGAUGCGUUCCAUUAGGCAGUUGGUGAGGUAACGGCUCACCAAACCUUCGAUGGAUAGGGGUUCUGAGAGGAAGGUCCCCCCACAUUGGAACUGAGACACGGUCCAAACUCCUACGGGAGGCAGCA
This 359-nucleotide ribosomal RNA is filed under the name uncultured bacterium. RNAcentral describes it as "bacterial SSU rRNA". It matches the Rfam family "Bacterial small subunit ribosomal RNA", at positions 8 to 353 of the family's 1533-position model. The record is from RNAcentral.